Molecule: unclassified non-coding RNA, 377 nt
Filed under: uncultured Actinomycetes bacterium
Lineage: Bacteria; Bacillati; Actinomycetota; Actinomycetes
Description: uncultured actinobacterium contains 16S-23S intergenic spacer region
Source: RNAcentral
UCCGAGUUGACCCCGGCAGUCUCCUACGAGUCCCCGGCAUUACCCGCUGGCAACAUAGGACAAGGGUUGCGCUCGUUGCGGGACUUAACCCAACAUCUCACGACACGAGCUGACGACAGCCAUGCACCACCUGUGCAGAGCCCUUGCGGACCCGACAUCUCUGCCGGAUUUCUCUGCAUGUCAAGCCCAGGUAAGGUUCUUCGCGUUGCAUCGAAUUAAUCCGCAUGCUCCGCCGCUUGUGCGGCCCCCCGUCAAUUCCUUUGAGUUUUAGCCUUGCGGCCGUACUCCCCAGGCGGGGCACUUAAUGCGUUAGCUUCGGCACGGAGGACGUGGAAUGUUCCCCACACCUAGUGUCCAACGUUUACGGCGUGGACUAC